AUGAACGCUAGCGACAGGCUUAACACAUGCAAGUCGAGGGGUAACAGGGUAGCAAUACCGCUGACGACCGGCGCACGGGUGAGUAACGCGUAUGCAACCUGCCUAUAACUGGGGAAUAGCUCCCUGAAAGGGGAAUUAACACCGCAUAACACUAUUGAUUCGCACGAAUUGGUAGUUAAAUGUAGCGAUACAGGUUAUAGAUGGGCAUGCGUGACAUUAGCUAGUUGGUGAGGUAACGGCUCACCAAGGCUACGAUGUCUAGGGGUUCUGAGAGGAAGGUCCCCCACACUGGUACUGAGACACGGACCAGACUCCUACGGGAGGCAGCAGUGAGGAAUAUUGGUCAAUGGGCGCAAGCCUGAACCAGCCAUGUCGCGUGCAGGAAGACUGCCCCCUAUGGGUUGUAAACUGCUUUUAUAGUAGAAGAAACACAUCUACGAGUAGAUGUCUGCCAGUAUACUAUGAAUAAGCAUCGGCUAACUCCGUGCCAGCAGCUGC
Molecule: ribosomal RNA, 498 nt
Filed under: uncultured bacterium
Lineage: Bacteria
Description: bacterial SSU rRNA
Rfam family: Bacterial small subunit ribosomal RNA
Source: RNAcentral